RNAcentral lists this ribosomal RNA (239 nucleotides) under uncultured bacterium. RNAcentral describes it as "partial 16S ribosomal RNA". It matches the Rfam family "Bacterial small subunit ribosomal RNA", at positions 15 to 252 of the family's 1533-position model. The record is from RNAcentral.
GAUCAUGGCUCAGGAUGAACGCUAGCGGCAGGCCUAACACAUGCAAGUCGAGGGGCAUCACAGGUAGCAAUACCGGGUGGCGACCGGCGCACGGGUGCGUAACGCGUAUGCAACCUACCCAUAACAGGGUGAUAACACUGAGAAAUUGGUACUAAUACCCCAUAACAUCAGAACCGGCAUCUGUUUUGGUUGAAAACUCCGGUGGUUAUGGAUGGGCAUGCGUUGUAUUAGCUAGUUGG